AACGAUGAAAGAUUAAACCCUAAACUUAUUUAUGAAUCGACUUAAACUACAAUCAUUUGAACAAUGUUAAAAUGUAUAAUAUUUCAACUAAGUAAACCCAAUAAUUAGACAUGGCCUACUUUGGAUAUAUCCGGUACACAUCCAGCAUUCUCAGAUAAAGUCCAAAUGAACAAUUUUUUGGACUGUCAAACCACAUAUAUAACUAUUAUACUAAUACGAAUAUCUAUACAAAUGGCUAAUUCAUAUACUAGCACAUCAGUUUCGGAAUAUUUAAACACUAAAAUAGAAAUGAUGAACUAGAUGACUUGCAAAUAGUAUACAUGAAGAUAAAACUAGAAUUUGAACACCCAACUUCAUUACAUCAAAUACUAAUUCAUGUUUUAAGCUUCACCUUGCCAUUCAAAGUUCAUGGAGGUAUCUGGAUACAAGAACAAAACAUGGUAGUGAGCUGAGGUGAACAAUGAAACAGCCCAACAGAAGAUGCAGUCAGCAGCAGAGACAAAACAUGCAACACAGCUCUAAAUUACCAUGUUUGGACCUUGGACAACCAGACAUUUCCAAAGAAACUGUGUUCUAACUCCCUUUUCAAAAUCAAAAUUUAGGCCGGAACUCUAAUAAAACAGUAGCACUCAAAUUUUUGUAUUUUUUUAGGAACUCGAAAUCUCCCUAAGGAGUGAGGGAAAGAUUCUAUGUAAAAGCCCUG
Molecule: long non-coding RNA, 703 nt
Filed under: Nicotiana benthamiana
Lineage: Eukaryota; Viridiplantae; Streptophyta; Magnoliopsida; Solanales; Solanaceae
Description: long non-coding RNA (NBEN_LNC032791)
Source: RNAcentral